Molecule: ribosomal RNA, 253 nt
Filed under: uncultured bacterium
Lineage: Bacteria
Description: partial 16S ribosomal RNA
Rfam family: Bacterial small subunit ribosomal RNA
Source: RNAcentral
UACGUAGGGGGCAAGCGUUGUCCGGAAUUAUUGGGCGUAAAGAGCGUGUAGGCGGUCCGGUAAGUCAGCUGUGAAAGUCAAGGGCUCAACCCUUGAAAGCCGGUUGAUACUGUCGGGCUAGAGUCCGGAAGAGGCGAGUGGAAUUCCCGGUGUAGCGGUGAAAUGCGCAGAUAUCGGGAGGAACACCAAUGGCGAAGGCAGCUCGCUGGGACGGUACUGACGCUGAGGAGCGAAAGCAUGGGUAGCGAACAGG